UACAUAGGGACCAAGCGCUGUUCGGAUUUACUGGGCGUAAAGGGCGCGUAGGCGGCGUGUUAAGUCACUUGUGAAAUCUCUAAGCUUAACUUAGAACGGUCAAGUGAUACUGAUGUGCUAGAGUGCAGAAGGGGCAACCGGAAUUCUUGGUGUAGCGGUGAAAUGCGUAGAUAUCAAGAGGAACACCUGAGGUGAAGACGGGUUGCUGGGCUGACACUGACGCUGAGGCGCGAAAGCUAGGGUAGCAAACGGG
RNAcentral lists this ribosomal RNA (253 nucleotides) under uncultured bacterium. RNAcentral describes it as "partial 16S ribosomal RNA". It matches the Rfam family "Bacterial small subunit ribosomal RNA", at positions 524 to 776 of the family's 1533-position model. The record is from RNAcentral.